Molecule: ribosomal RNA, 351 nt
Filed under: Fruhstorferiola okinawaensis
Lineage: Eukaryota; Metazoa; Arthropoda; Insecta; Orthoptera; Acrididae
Description: partial 12S ribosomal RNA
Source: RNAcentral
UAAGUGUUAAUUAAACUUACCAGGGUAUUAAUAGUUAAGGUCUUUAAACCCAAAGAAUUUGGCGGUAUCUUAUACCAUUCAGAGGAACCUAUCCCGUAAUUGACAGUACACGAUUAACUUUACUUAAUUUAUUUGUUUGUAUAUCUCCGUUAUCAGAAGAUCUUUUUAGAGUUAUAAUUUUCUUGAUUUAUAAUUAUAAAGUAUUUCAGGUCAAGGUGCAGCUUAUAUUUAAGAGGAGAUGGGUUACAAUAGGUUUUUGUUUAUAACGGAUUUGAUAGUGAAACACUAUUAAUGAAGGUGGAUUUGAUAGUAAUUUGACAUAUUUAGUUUAAUUGAUAUUGGCUCUGAGGU